UACGAAGGGUGCAAGCGUUACUCGGAAUUACUGGGCGUAAAGCGUGCGUAGGUGGUUCGUUAAGUCUGUCGUGAAAGCCCCGGGCUCAACCUGGGAAUGGCGAUGGAUACUGGCGAGCUAGAGUGCGGUAGAGGAGAGUGGAAUUCCCGGUGUAGCAGUGAAAUGCGUAGUGAUCGGGAGGAACAUCAGUUGCGAAGGCGGCUCUCUGGACCAGCACUGACACUGAGGCACGAAAGCGUGGGGAGCAAACAGG
Molecule: ribosomal RNA, 253 nt
Filed under: uncultured bacterium
Lineage: Bacteria
Description: partial 16S ribosomal RNA
Rfam family: Bacterial small subunit ribosomal RNA
Source: RNAcentral